CCUGGCAAACGUCGUCGCGCGCUCCGCGUCCACAUAUCCCCGCGGCGUCGCCCGCAACUCCCUAAUUACAGGAUCGAUUCCACGUGAUAAGGAAGAACGAAUCAGCAGCAAAACCUCGUGUCGCUGCUCCUUCCCCUCCACCCGUGCACUUCCCCCCAUCCACCCCACCUCCGGUCGCCGCCUGCGCUCCUGCAAGCCGUCGCCGACCUCCGUUCAGCCGUACCCAACGCCCUCCUCCUCCGUUCUCUCUCCCUCUCCUCGCUGAUCUCUCUCCCUCUCUUUGUUCCCGUGCAGGACGCCAUGGCCAUGGACGAAAGCUCCGCCGGACCUUCCAUCAUGACUGCCAGCCUUCCUCCCGACCAGAUCACCGACGCGGCUGCUGUGAUCCGGGCUGGCCACCGUCCUAUUUUGCGGGUUCGUGGCCACGUUUUCCUACUAGACCACGACCGCCACUUCCUGCUAGAUUAGCGGACAGGGAGAAGAAGGAAGAAGUUGCAGUAAUCAUAAGUGUGGUGAACCAGGCAGGGGACACAGGAUGAUGAGUAUGAAUCAUGAGAUAAACUUCAACUGAAAAAACAGGAUUCUGAGGUGAUAUAUACUCUCAAAGGCAUGAAUACAGGUAUGUCAUAAUACUCCAGGUGAGAUAUAUGCAGGUGUUAUGGAUUGUGGUUUCAAGGAAAACAAUUAUGGAACUCAAUAUGCAGCCGCUAAGUUUCUGAAGCUUGAUCGACAUCUUUUAUCAAUUGUUAACUAGUACUAGGAUUCUCAUGCAUGUCUACUGCUAUUUACGAAACUAAAGACAUGAUGGUUCCAUUUGGGACGAAAAAGAAAAGUAGCACCAGUGUGUAAACCCAAUGCUUAGGUGAUUAACUGCGGAUCAAACAAUUUUUAUCCCCUGUUUGCGCAAUAUGUAAGUACACAUGGUUAUUGGUCAGGGACCUUCUUGGCAUAUGUAGAUUUUCUGCGUUCUGAAUUUUUAGCCCUUGUGAUUCUUGUAGGUUAUGCUUUAUUCAGGCGUAUAACUUGACUUCCAUUGCUCUACAUUUUACUUAUAUCGCAUAUUUGACACUUUGUACAAUCUGCAGUUAAUUACUAAAUCCCCAGAGUUGCAAAGGAGUUCUACAUUAUUUCAUUAGUGCAUUUAGAGCAUGUCAAAUGGAAGUACAAGUUAUUUAGGGGUAAAAUCAACUUCCCUCUGAAGUCUGCUGCUGGUCAGGCUCUUUUAUAUGGUGGUCUGACCUGGUCACACUCUUUCGACAGUCAAUACAUAUUUUCUCUUGGGGCCAACAAGAAAGGAUUUCUUCCGCCAACAUAACAAAGAACCCAUUGGGUGGAUGCAACACCCGAAUGCCUUUUUGACUAAGUCAUUUUAAUUAACUAAUUACAAUGGCGGAGCUAGAUGGGGAUAGCUCAAGAGGCAAAGGGAAAAUACAUAAAUUCUUGAGCGGUCCAAAGACUAAAAUAUGUUGAAUUAAGCACCCGAAGAGAUUUUUUAUUCACAAUUUUUCUCAAGGUUGGGGGUUUAAUGUAAGUUUCUCUGCUAUUAAAACUGCAACUUUCCAUCCUGAUUAUGUCCAUGAUUAAGUUUUGGGUGUGGGCACCGGUAGGAGAUCAAGCACUCCGUCCUCUGUCAGUUGCUGGCAAACGAGGUCGAGGCUGCAUGGAGCACUGGUCUCCUCCCUGCUGCCAGCGACGCCCUCCUGUCUCCUCUGCACCAGUCUACUCCUUCAUGUCUCUCUCCCUCUCAAUCUCCUCUUUCUGUUGUUUGUUUUCUCUAUCUCACAUAGAAAAGCUCUUGAUCCACCAAAACACUGAAUAAUGUGCAUAUUUGCUACCCUAGGAAAGAAGGACGUAAAACUGAACUACAAACAUAUGUAGUGUAGAGCAUCCAGGAUAAAGGGUUGUGGAUGUCCCAUUGCUGCAUGAACUGAACCAAGGAUGUUUAGCAACUAAUUUCUUUUUUUUUUGUGGCAUCAACACGAGGAUGGGAUUCAUAAUUGAGAACAUCAUGUGUUCAUAAUAUAUUUUUUGUGGUAGCAACUGAACCAAGGAUGCUCAUGGCAAGUUUAAUCGCAAUAUAAAUCAUUUGGUUUGGAAACACACCUGCUAAAAAAUAGAUUGAUCUUUUCUUAAAAUCUUCAACCUUCUAUGUAAACCAGUUCUCCUUUGUAUCAUAUCCGAGAUCCAUCUAGAUUAUAUCUGAUUUUAGUGAUAUAUAAAUCAAAAUUGAUUUAUUCACUCUUUGGUAAGCACUUACACAUUUGAUCGUUCUGGCGUUCUGUUUUAUGUGGUUUGAUUUUAUCAACCUAAUUCGGCCUUUCUUUUGCAGAUUAUUUACAAAAGAAAAUGGUUUGGGCGGAAGAGUUGAAGGCCUGAAGCCAAAUGUUCCUAAUCAAGAAGAUGACCUGCACAACUCCCGUGAAACAAGGCCAAUGCUAUGUGCCAAGAUUAAGGAUUGCAAAUAUGUUUACUUUGGUCCAAUAUCGUAUAGCAGUGUAAUGCUUCAUGCAGGCACUUUUUAUCAUUCAUUUUUAUUAUUCAAAUCUCUAUAUGGUUGUCAUAGAUGCUGCUAUUACACGGGUUUAUUACUAUUUUUCAUGUGUUGUUGAAAAUAGAAUUCACUCAUAUAUUUGUCUACGG
Molecule: long non-coding RNA, 2640 nt
Organism: Triticum aestivum (bread wheat)
Lineage: Eukaryota; Viridiplantae; Streptophyta; Magnoliopsida; Poales; Poaceae
Exons: 3
Source: RefSeq, a predicted model, not a curated record